ACUUCCUUUGGCCGGCCUCCCAUCUCGUUCCAUAUCCUGGCAGGGUGAGCAGGGGUGUCUGUAAAAGGCUUGCUUUCCCCUUCUGCGCAGAGCAUGAACUAUUCAUCGUUAUGGGCCGAGAACAGUUCUUGCAGGUUUCCCUCCGUAACCGGGCAAAAACCAGGCCCCAUGCGUAAUUCCCGGCCUGCGUGUGGCUACUUCCAAACGCCUUUCCCCAGCACAAGACCUCAGCUUCUCACUGAAUCUCAGGCCUGGCUUCGUUCUUUGGCCCUGCCGUGGAUUGGGAUUCAGCAGGAUGGCAACUGCAUGGCUGCCCAGGUCCUUCUGGUUGUGCUACGUGGGACACUGACUCAGCAUGGCCUGAUGAGUGGUGCCAGGUCCGCGCCCAGGAUCCAAACUGGUGAACCCUGGGCCGCCAAAGUGGAGCAUGCAAACUUAACUGCUCGGCCAUGGGGCCAGCCAUGACAAAAUUAUUUUUUAAAUGUAAUACCAAGUAUUGUUGAGGGUGCUGGGAAAUGCACACUGUUGGAGAAAUUAUAAAUUGGUGCAAACUUUCUGGGAAGAAAUUUGACAAUGUUAUUUAUGUCCAGUGCUUGUCCAUAACCAACAAUUCUACUUUUAGGAAUGCAUCCAAAGUAAAUAAUUAAAUAAAAAAGGAUGUAUGCAAAAAUUUAGCUAUAAGAAUGACUGUUAUAAUCACUAAAAAUCAGAAAACAGCCUGACUAUCCAAUGAUAAGUUAUGGGUCAAAAAAGGAUAUGUCCACCCAUUGGAAUAUCAUGUAUUUAUUAAAAUAAUAAUGUGAACUGUUAUUUAAUGACCUGGAAUAAUACUCCAUAUUGUGGAACAGCUUUGGACUGCACAUCUAAAUUCUCUAGGCCAUAGCUAAAUUCAAAUAAAUUGCUCACUCUUGACUCCAUGUUUUUCCAAAAAACAAAACAAAAAAGCCUAUUUAUUAGGUAGUUGUCAUAAUUAAAAAUUGCGCUUCUAGUCUA
RNAcentral lists this long non-coding RNA (993 nucleotides) under Equus caballus (horse). Its description in RNAcentral is "lncRNA (ENSECAG00000054049.1)". Lineage: Eukaryota; Metazoa; Chordata; Mammalia; Perissodactyla; Equidae. The record is from RNAcentral.